ACUUGACUCCCACACCCAUAUCCUUAGCCCUAACCUCUUCAUCGGUGCCCUCUCACCGCGCCUCCUCCUCUCGACGUCCCUGUCAUGCUUCGUUCUUUGUAUUUUGCUCAUCCCUUAUAUUUUGCCGCGCCUCUGUCCCUCUCUCCCUCGCCGCGUCUCGCCUACAUGCCUCCGUGCUUCGAUGCUUCCCUCGCCUCACCGCGCCGUGCCUCCGUCCCUCCCUCACCGCGCCGCCCCUCCAUCCCUCGCGGCUGGUUUCGUUGCCUCGCGCCUACUCCCAUGGCUUCCAUUUCAGACAGAGCCAGAACUAGGUUGGAUGCAGGGACUUGGGGGGUUGGCCUUGGUUAUUGCAUUUUGGCUGUAGUGGCUUGUCCGGAUCGACUUGUUGUUGCAGUUAAAGGGGAUUCUGGAUCCUGAUUUAAUGUCAUUGAAGUUGAGACAACCAUCAUAUGUUGCUCUACGGGUUUGAACUUUCUUGGUUGAAAGCAUAUUGCAAGAAUGAAGAUCCAGGAUAUGCCAAGCUCAGUGAUUAUAAAGUCAUUUGUUAUAAGCCUCCACUUAUGCCGAACAUUUUUCUACUUUCACUGAUUGUUGGGUAUCUGUUGUAUGGAGGCUAUAUUGCUCUGUCUUCUAAGAAAAACUUUGAAGCGGUAGUCUUGUAGCUGUUAAGAUAUUGAAUAAGGCCAAAUCCAAUGGCCAGGAGUUCAUCAAUGAAGUUGCUACCAUUGGAAGAAUUCACCAUGUUAAUGUGGUGCAACUCAUUAGUUUCUGUGUGGAGGGAUCAAAGCGUUGUUUGGUGUAUGAGUUAAUGCAAAAUGGCUCUUUAGAGAAAUACAUAUUUUCACCUCAAGAGAGUGCUUCAAAUUCCUUAAGUUGUGAAAAACUAUACAACAUUUCUCUUGGAGUGGCACCUGGUAUUGAGCAUCUGCAUAAUGGUUGCGACAUGGUUUAAUCCAAGAAUGUGCAGAAAAAUUUUUGGACUGUUGUCUUAUAUGUCUUGUCUUUUAUUGAUAUUUGAAAAAAUAUGUAUUUUUUGUUCUAACUUAAACAUAAAAAAAUUCAUGCUUUUAAUAUACUUGCUUUUGAAUUUUUGUAAGUUAAAUUGGUUCUCUUGUUUAAGAAAUU
Arachis stenosperma is the source of this 1125-nucleotide long non-coding RNA. RefSeq lists it as uncharacterized. NCBI's taxonomy places the organism in Eukaryota, Viridiplantae, Streptophyta, Magnoliopsida, Fabales, Fabaceae. The record is from RefSeq and is a predicted model, not a curated record. The transcript is spliced from 3 exons.